This 440-nucleotide ribosomal RNA is filed under the name uncultured bacterium. Its description in RNAcentral is "partial 16S ribosomal RNA". It matches the Rfam family "Bacterial small subunit ribosomal RNA", at positions 338 to 795 of the family's 1533-position model. The record is from RNAcentral.
CCUACGGGGGGCAGCAGUGGGGAAUAUUGCACAAUGGGGGAAACCCUGAUGCAGCGACGCCGCGUGAGUGAAGCAGUAUCUCGGUACGUAAAGCUCUAUCAGCAGGGAAGAAAAUGACGGUACCUGACUAAGCAGCCCCGGCUAACUACGUGCCAGCAGCCGCGGUAAUACGUAGGGGGCAAGCGUUAUCCGGAUUUACUGGGUGUAAAGGGCGCGUAUACGGCAGCCCAAGCCUGAAGUGAAAUCCCGGGGCUUAACCCCGGAACUGCUUUGGAAACUGGGCGGUUGGAGUGCAGGGGGGGUAAGCGGAAUUCGUAGUGGAGCGGUGAAAUGCGUAGAUAUUAGGAGGAACCCCGAUUGCGAAGGCAGCCUGCCGCAGCGUUACUGACGCUGAAGCUCGAAAGCGCGGGUAUCGAACAGGAUUAGAUACCCUUGUAGUC